Long non-coding RNA from Anopheles darlingi, 1004 nucleotides. RefSeq lists it as uncharacterized. NCBI's taxonomy places the organism in Eukaryota, Metazoa, Arthropoda, Insecta, Diptera, Culicidae. The transcript has 2 exons. The record is from RefSeq and is a predicted model, not a curated record.
GUAUGACAAGGAUAUUUUUUCAAGCAGAGGGAUAUUUCCUUCGAGUACAUGCUGUCGCUUUCGCUCCUAUGGCUGUUUUGGUGCUGUCUCACCAUUACCGUGUCGGCACACGCGGUGCUCACCGCGAAUGCAACUGUGUGCGAUCGAGUUUAAGGCGCGAUGAAAAGUUCCCCAGAGUGAUGAAAAUGAAGAACAGGUUUUUCAUUGAAAAAUGCAUCAAGCACCGCUCAAAACAUUUUUAAAAACCAUGUUUAAUUAUUGAUAAUAUGUAACAUUACAUUUCAUUCGAUUUAAAACACUUUUUUGUGCAAUGUUUAGCAUUUUCGGGUGUGAUCAGCUAUCUAGGAACUUUUCAGGCAACCAUAGCCGAAGGCCGCGCGAGAAAGGGACGGCGAGAGUUCUCUCUCUCAGAUCUAACGAUCGUGAGGUUCGUGAAAGAGUCUCUCCGAGAAACGAAACUGUGUUUUUUUAACCACAAGUUUUUCCGUUAAUAAUACAUGAAAUACCGACCAAAACUAUGUUAAAACUAAUAUUGAGUUAAAAAGAACAUAUCACAUUGCAUUUUAUUGCAUUUCCAACACUUUUUCAUGCAAUGUUGAACAUUUUUAAGUGUUAUGUGAUUCCAACGAACUUUCGAGACAGCCCGAUCCGAAGGUGGCGAAAGAAAAGGAGGAAGAGAAAAUUGUGAAUCAGUUCUCUUCGGCCUUCAAGAUGGCCGGAGCGUCGGUGAUCGUGCGCUUGGUAAGUUUCAUAAAAAUACGCAUAAUUUUCGGAUAUUUGGUGGUUUCUUAUCUUUGCAGGCUUUUAUCACCCGCAGCAACGACGUCCGCGAGAUCGUGUAUGAUCUGAAGGAGUUGGCGCUCCGACAAGCAACGCGAAGGGCAGGCAGCAGAAGAGCGGAAAAGUGUUGCGUGUAAGUGCAGUGUUUCGUGAAGUGAUUAACAAAUGAAAAUUGUAUGUUAGAUUAAUGAAAACGCUUAUAAAUAAAGUUGGUGAAAUUGAAA